This 308-nucleotide unclassified non-coding RNA is filed under the name plant metagenome. RNAcentral's name for it is "partial contains 5.8S ribosomal RNA, internal transcribed spacer 2, and large subunit ribosomal RNA". The stretch from base 1 to 105 matches the Rfam family "5.8S ribosomal RNA", at positions 50 to 154 of the family's 154-position model. The record is from RNAcentral.
GAAAUGCGAUAAGUAGUGUGAAUUGCAGAAUUCAGUGAAUCAUCGAAUCUUUGAACGCACAUUGCGCCCCUUGGUAUUCCAUGGGGCAUGCUUGUUCGAGCGUCAUUUGUACCCUCAAGCUUUGCUUGGUGUUGGGCGGUUGUCCUUUCUUUGCGUUGGGACUCGCCUCAAAGUCAUUGGCAGCCAGUGUAUUGGUUUGAAGCGCAGCACAUGUCGCGCAAACGAGUGCCUUGGUACGGCGGCGUCCAUAAGCCCCUCUCUCACGCUCUUGACCUCGGAUCAGGUAGGGAUACCCGCUGAACUUAAGC